AUUGAACGCUGGCGGCAGGCCUAACACAUGCAAGUCGAGCGGAUGAAGGGAGCUUGCUCCUGGAUUCAGCGGCGGACGGGUGAGUAAUGCCUAGGAAUCUGCCUGGUAGUGGGGGAUAACGUCCGGAAACGGGCGCUAUACCGCAUACGUCCUGAGGGAGAAAGUGGGGGAUCUUCGGACCUCACGCUAUCAGAUGAGCCUAGGUCGGAUUAGCUAGUUGGUGGGGUAAAGGCCUACCAAGGCGACGAUCUGUAACUGGUCUGAGAGGAUGAUCAGUCACACUGGAACUGAGACACGGUCCAGACUCCUACGGGAGGCAGCAGUGGGGAAUAUUGGACAAUGGGCGAAAGCCUGAUCCAGCCAUGCCGCGUGUGUGAAGAAGGUCUUCGGAUUGUAAAGCACUUUAAGUUGGGAGGAAGGGCAGUAAGUUAAUACCUUGCUGUUUUGACGUUACCAACAGAAUAAGCACCGGCUAACUUCGUG
This 483-nucleotide ribosomal RNA is filed under the name uncultured bacterium. RNAcentral describes it as "partial 16S ribosomal RNA". It matches the Rfam family "Bacterial small subunit ribosomal RNA", at positions 30 to 507 of the family's 1533-position model. The record is from RNAcentral.